AUACGUAGGGGGCGAGCGUUGUCCGGAAUGAUUGGGCGUAAAGGGCGCGUAGGCGGCGCGGUAAGUCUGGAGUGAAAGUCCUGCUUUCAAGGUGGGAAUUGCUUUGGAUACUGCCGCGCUUGAGUGCAGGAGAGGUUAUCGGAAUUCCCGGUGUAGCGGUGAACUGCGUAGAGAUCGGGAGGAACACCAGUGGCGAAGGCGGGUAACUGGACUGCAACUGACGCUGAGGCGCGAAAGUGUGGGGAGCAAACAGGAUUAGAUACCCUGGUAGUCCACACUGUAAACGAUGAAUGCUAGGUGUAAGAGGUAUCGACCCCUUUUGUGCCGGAGUCAACACAAUAAGCAUUCCGCCUGGGGAGUACGGCCGCAAGGUUGAAACUCAAAUGAAUCGACGGGG
RNAcentral lists this ribosomal RNA (397 nucleotides) under uncultured bacterium. Its description in RNAcentral is "partial 16S ribosomal RNA". It matches the Rfam family "Bacterial small subunit ribosomal RNA", at positions 523 to 918 of the family's 1533-position model. The record is from RNAcentral.